Molecule: ribosomal RNA, 275 nt
Filed under: uncultured bacterium
Lineage: Bacteria
Description: partial 16S ribosomal RNA
Rfam family: Bacterial small subunit ribosomal RNA
Source: RNAcentral
GCGUGGGUGAUGAAGGCCUUCGGGUUGUAAAGCCCUUUUGGCGGGGACGAUGAUGACGGUACCCGCAGAAUAAGCCCCGGCUAACUUCGUGCCAGCAGCCGCGGUAAUACGAAGGGGGCUAGCGUUGUUCGGAAUUACUGGGCGUAAAGGGCGCGCAGGCGGCUUUGUAAGUUGGGCGUGAAAGGCCUGGGCUUAACCCGGGAAUGGCGCUUGAGACUGCAAGGCUCGAGUACGGGAGAGGAUGGUGGAAUUCCCAGUGUAGAGGUGAAAUUCGU